UAAGCAAAUGUUGAUAUUUUUCACUAGCGAGUCUCUCAAGAAGAGAAGGCAGUGGUGGGACCCUGGCUUCUUGCCUUGUUCGUCUUUGUAGUAUGUGGAUCAGCGAUAUUCCAGAUCAUUCAGAGCAUCCGGAUGGGAAUGUGAGCGGUCAUCGGCAUUGUACAUCAGUUUGUUCUCUUUCCUGAAGUUCACUUGAUCAGUCCUCUUUUCUUAUUUAAUCUUCAUCUUUCACCACAACACCACAGUCUCUUGUGUCUUACUCAAAAGCUGGAGGAACAUUCUCUUCUGAAACAUUACAAUAUUGCUGGCAAUAAACUCCAAUGACCGUUUGAACUUUUUCUGUGGAAAAAAACACACGUUUGUUUAAAUGAAUGUUGCAUUGAAUUUUCUAUGUUGUAGGGUUUGGACCAGUUCAUGUUCAUUGUUAACAUUAUUCGGUACUGUGCACCUUUGGUUGGGCUUUCCUCUACAUUUAGAGCUGAAUUUGUGUUCUUUGAUUACUUUGACAAGGAAGCGAAGGUCCACAUAUUCAGUUGUAUGUGUAGAGAACAUGAAAAACAAUAAAAAAGACUUAAAAUGUC
Long non-coding RNA from Sinocyclocheilus grahami, 581 nucleotides. RefSeq lists it as uncharacterized. Lineage: Eukaryota; Metazoa; Chordata; Actinopteri; Cypriniformes; Cyprinidae. The record is from RefSeq and is a predicted model, not a curated record. The transcript is spliced from 2 exons.